AUUAGGUGAAAUUUGGUCCAAUUUUGACUAGUUUUAUUAUUAACAAAUCAAAAAGAAAAAGCUAUCAUUUUUCUCUUCUCCUUCACCGAAAUAUGCAGCAAAGAAAGGGCUUUGAAGUUGGAAAAUUUCAGCAACAUAUUUCCCUUGCUUAUGAUGAAAAUCGAGAUUUGGACCUAGAACGGAAAGAAAUCGAUUAAGGGAUAAUUACGUCUUUUUUUUUCACCUUUGUGGUAUCGAGAGUUUCCAGGUUAGUUCGGGUUGGAGGCCGUCAGAGAUAUUAUCACACUGUCAAGCUAACGCUAUUGGUGUAGUGAUUUCAAGUACUUUGAGCCUAUGGCAUGUAUAGGAGUUUAAAUAUUAGAGUAUGUGAUAUGGCUUUAACCAUAUGUGUUGGCCUAUUUUGAUUAUGGGGUUGUAAAUCUAUUUUAAUUAUGCAUGCAUGUGCUAUGGUAUUAUGUGAUGAGUUUAUAAUGAUUAUAGUAUGAAUGUGGUAAAAUCUAUGAUAUUUAUUGCAUGUGAAAUUGCCAUAAUCAUGACAUGUUAGGAAUGUUUAAGUACUUAAUUUUGCCAUGUUGUAUGUUAUUGUAUAAGUAUGCGUGUAUCUAUUGUGAGUGUGACAAAAUGGCUUGGAAAAUAGCCUUGUAUUUGUCUAGGUUUUUGGACACGGGUUUGGGACACGGGCGUGUCCCUAGCACACGGGCGUGUGCUCUAUACCCACAUGGGCGUAUGAAGCCUUGAUGCAAGAGAUUUUCUAAGUUUUUCAUGAGUUUUCGGUUGGGUCCCGAACCACUCCAGAUGUAUGUUUUGGGCCUCGUAAGCCCGUAUAUGGGACAGAUUGUAUGUGAAAAUAAAAGUUUUUAAUUAUUUGAGAUUUCAUGGCCCUGUUUAGUAUGGAAGUAUUAGUAAAAGUCAGGUAACACCUCGAACACUGUCCCGGCGUUGGAUGCGGGCGAGGAGUAUUAUAUUAUCCAACAAGGUUUUCAAAUCUAUUUAGUUUAUAUGAUGAUGAGUUACGAUGCUUUAGUUAUACGGUAAUAUUGUUGUCAAGCCAAGUGGAACGAGGUAAAGCCUAUAACAAUCCCUAUCCCUCCAAAAUGAGGCGUGAUCUUUUCUGAAAUUUCUCUUAUUCGGUUUUUUUCUUUGCAGGGUUUAAUACAAGACAGAGAUUUGAAAUGUCACGCGCAUGUACUACGAAAGGAGUGUGCCACAUUUAGACUUUUAAUACCAACAUUAAUUUUAUUGCAAUGGACACAUGUGACUACUUAAUUCGCUGAAUCUUUAGGAAACAUUGUAAAAAAGUUUAUGAAAACGAUAAUAGUGCCUGGAAAAAUUUUUCUUGCUUUUUGAAA
Molecule: long non-coding RNA, 1349 nt
Organism: Gossypium arboreum
Lineage: Eukaryota; Viridiplantae; Streptophyta; Magnoliopsida; Malvales; Malvaceae
Exons: 3
Source: RefSeq, a predicted model, not a curated record